This is a long non-coding RNA of Cylas formicarius (sweet potato weevil), 1883 nucleotides long. RefSeq lists it as uncharacterized. The record is from RefSeq and is a predicted model, not a curated record. Lineage: Eukaryota; Metazoa; Arthropoda; Insecta; Coleoptera; Brentidae. The transcript is spliced from 3 exons.
UAAAGUUGGCCGUUGUGAACGCACGAAACAAUCGCAAAAAGUUCGAGUUGAAUCAAAAACUAUAACAAAUACAAAUUUAAAAAAAAACACUGCGUAGAGCGUGUUGGGCAAAAUUCGAUUUUUAUUUUAAUUGAUUUUUUUUUAAUUUCGUAAGAACGUGUAUGUCCUGCGGUGUCACGUGAACUACAAAUCCAACAUGACGUGGGGUGGACGCCAUUUUUAGUAUCAGGUUUAUCUAUUUGAUCGAGGUGAUGUUGAGUAUUAAAUUCCAGCAUAUUAAGUAUAUAUUGUUAUUAGUAUUUACGAAACAAAGAAGUACCAAGAGUGGAAUGUUUUAUCUACGAAGAAGGCUGACAAAUAUCGAGGAAGCUCGAGUACGCUACGAAACGCCAUUGAAAGAAGCAAGAAAAUCCUAGGUGUAGCAGCACCUGCUCUAAACAUAACAAAUGUCUCGCUGCUCCGAAAAUUCUAAAAUAGGCCUCUCAUAAUAAGUUUACAAAUGUAGGCUUCGAAAAUAUUCUAAGAAUUAAUUCCUUACAGUCUUCGUAAUACUACUGAAUAUUUUGGUAUUGGACACCCACCACCUUCAUUAUCAUCAAAUAUUCGAAUUGGUUCUGCUAAUUCCAAAGCUAUUUGACCAAAUUAUCCUCGGUCAUUUCGUUUUGAAUUAAAAUAUCCAUAACGUCCGUUUCUAUUAAUUUCUGAUAGGUACUGGAGUACAAAGACGUUUCUACUUUAUUAACACUUGUUAAAUCAGCAGCGCUACACACAAACACUGAACAAGAUGUACCUUCGAAAAAAUCUAUAUCUCAAAAUCAACACCACCCGAACAAAAAUAACACGCCAUAACCUCUAAAUCUGUCAAAAACGGAAACGGCAAAUGACUUGCGUAUCGGGAGAAAAUUUCGGUCGCACCUGUUUUUUCCCCGAUCUACAAAUUGUCGUAGUUUGGGUGUAGAGCGAUUUGUAAACUCUACAAGAAAGAAAUUCAAUGGAAAGUCCAAAUUCUUAAAGCACGCCAUGAAGUUGGUGAUAAUAAGUAGCGAGAAACGAAUACAGAUCCUUUGUGACAGAUAACGGAGCAAGAAUGGCCCUCGUGAGAAAAACUUUGGAGGAAAAGACAGACUCUUACGACUGCUCUGCACAUAUUUUGGAUUUACUGUGCAAAGAUUUACAAAUACCAGACGUCAAAGAACAUGUAGUCCAAAUUAUUAAGUAUUUUCGCGAUAACAGUCCGGCUAAAUUGAAAUUCAAUCAAGCAGCUUGGGCUUAAACAUGCAGCACAAGAAUAUUUAAGCAUUUUAAAGCCAAUAUCGGCUGCUCGUGACGUUUUUCACUGCUGUAGAGCAGUGAAAACAUUUACAAUAUAUCUCAUUUUAUAACCUAUAUGUUGAACCCCUAAAAGCAAAAACACGAGUGAACACCCGAAGAAAAGUAUUUGGCUUUAGAAACAAUUAAUAAGGUUGAAUGCCCGCAGUUUAAUAAUGAAAAACCUAAAUGAAUGAGAUUUGGAAUAUAUAAGCAGGUACAGAGUAAAACGCGAACCAGUUUCAGUCAAGCUCUGAAGAAGCCAACCGGAUGAUUGGCGAAACUUCAGCAAGUUUGGAAUUGUGGAAGUUUCUUUGAAAGACUAUGUUUUAGUUUCUUAUGUCUGUGUUGCAGUUAUUUUAUUUAUUUUUUUUAAUUCAAAUAAUGAGAUUAUUCCCAAUCAAUAUUUUUUGUAAAUGACAUUAUAUUCAUUAAAAUUCAUAUUACUGGGUGAACCUUUUGUUUUUAUUAAACGAACAAAAUUUUUUAGGAUCUUUUUUAAUGUCAUAUUCAAUUUUCGGUAUAUAGCUUUGAGAGGAGCGAUACAUAUUACAAUUACAAUAACGUAUUGUAAU